GAUGAACGCUGGCGGCGUGCUUAACACAUGCAAGUCGAACGAGGUUGUACGAACAGAAGCCUUCGGGUGGAAGAUUGUAUAACUUAGUGGCGGACGGGUGAGUAACACGUGAGCAACCUGCCUUUCACAGUGGAAUAACAACAGGAAACUGUUGCUAAUACCGCAUAAUAUCUAGAUAAGGCAUCUUAUUUAGAUCAAAGAUUUAUCGGUGAAAGAUGGGCUCGCGUCCGAUUAGCUAGUUGGUGGGGUAAAGGCCUACCAAGGCGACGAUCGGUAGCCGGACUGAGAGGUUGAACGGCCACAUUGGGACUGAGACACGGCCCAGACUCCUACGGGAGGCAGCAGUGGGGAAUAUUGGGCAAUGGGCGCAAGCCUGACCCAGCAACGCCGCGUGAAGGAUGAAGGUCUUCGGAUUGUAAACUUCUUUGGUCAGGGACGAAACAAAUGACGGUACCUGAAGAACAAGCCACGGCUAACUACGUGCCAGCAGCCGCGGUAAUACGUAGGUGGCGAGCGUUAUCCGGAUUUACUGGGUGUAAAGGGCGUGUAGGCGGUUUUUUAAGAUGGAUGUGAAAUCCCCAGGCUCAACCUGGGAGGGUCAUCCAUAACUGGAGAACUUGAGUGUCGGAGAGGAAAGCGGAAUUCCUAGUGUAGCGGUAAAAUGCGUAGAUAUUAGGAGGAACACCAGUGGCGAAGGCGGCUUUCUGGACGAUAACUGACGCUAAGGCGCGAAAGCGUGGGGAGCAAACAGG
This 752-nucleotide ribosomal RNA is filed under the name uncultured bacterium. RNAcentral describes it as "bacterial SSU rRNA". It matches the Rfam family "Bacterial small subunit ribosomal RNA", at positions 28 to 776 of the family's 1533-position model. The record is from RNAcentral.